RNAcentral lists this ribosomal RNA (460 nucleotides) under uncultured bacterium. RNAcentral describes it as "partial 16S ribosomal RNA". It matches the Rfam family "Bacterial small subunit ribosomal RNA", at positions 338 to 795 of the family's 1533-position model. The record is from RNAcentral.
CCUACGGGGUGCAGCAGUGAGGAAUAUUGGUCAAUGGACGAGAGUCUGAACCAGCCAAGUAGCGUGAAGGAUGACUGCCCUAUGGGUUGUAAACUUCUUUUAUAUGGGAAUAAAAUGUUCCACGUGUGGGAUUUUGUAUGUACCAUAUGAAUAAGGAUCGGCUAACUCCGUGCCAGCAGCCGCGGUAAUACGGAGGAUCCGAGCGUUAUCCGGAUUUAUUGGGUUUAAAGGGAGCGUAGGUGGAUUGUUAAGUCAGUUGUGAAAGUUUGCGGCUCAACCGUAAAAUUGCAGUUGAAACUGGCAGUCUUGAGGACAGUAGAGGUGGGCGGAAUUCGUGGUGUAGCGGUGAAAUGCUUAGAUAUCACGAAGAACUCCGAUUGCGAAGGCAGUUCACUGGACUGCAACUGACACUGAGGCUCGAAAGUGUGGGUAUCAAACAGGAUUAGAUACCCCAGUAGUC